Molecule: ribosomal RNA, 352 nt
Filed under: Escherichia coli
Lineage: Bacteria; Pseudomonadati; Pseudomonadota; Gammaproteobacteria; Enterobacterales; Enterobacteriaceae
Description: partial 23S ribosomal RNA
Rfam family: Bacterial large subunit ribosomal RNA
Source: RNAcentral
GGAAAGGCGCGCGAUACAGGGUGACAGCCCCGUACACAAAAAUGCACAUGCUGUGAGCUCGAUGAGUAGGGCGGGACACGUGGUAUCCUGUCUGAAUAUGGGGGGACCAUCCUCCAAGGCUAAAUACUCCUGACUGACCGAUAGUGAACCAGUACCGUGAGGGAAAGGCGAAAAGAACCCCGGCGAGGGGAGUGAAAAAGAACCUGAAACCGUGUACGUACAAGCAGUGGGAGCACGCUUAGGCGUGUGACUGCGUACCUUUUGUAUAAUGGGUCAGCGACUUAUAUUCUGUAGCAAGGUUAACCGAAUAGGGGAGCCGAAGGGAAACCGAGUCUUAACUGGGCGUUAAGUU